Molecule: long non-coding RNA, 1934 nt
Organism: Homo sapiens (human)
Lineage: Eukaryota; Metazoa; Chordata; Mammalia; Primates; Hominidae
Exons: 5
Source: RefSeq, a predicted model, not a curated record
GGGCAAUGGUGGGCGCCCCUCCCCCAGCCUCGCUGCCGCCUUGCAGUUUGAUCUCAGACUGCUGUGCUAGCAAUCAGCGAGAUUCCGUGGGCGUAGGACCCUCUGAGCCAGGUGCGGGAUAUAAUCUCGCGGUGCGCCGUUUUUUAAGCCCGUCGGAAAAGCGCAGUAUUCGGGUGGGAGCGAGCCGAUUUUCCAGGUGCCGUCCGUCACCCCUUUCUUUGACUAGGAAAGGGAACUCCCUGACCCCUUGCGCUUCCGGAGUGAGGCAAUGCCUCGCCCUGCUUCGGCUCGCGCACGGUGCACGCACCCACUGACCUGCGCCCACUGUGUGGCACUCCCUAGUGAGAUGAACCCGGUACCUCAGAUGGAAAUGCAGAAAUCACCCGUCUUCUGCGUGGCUCACGCUGGGAGCUGUAGACCGGAGCUGUUCCUAUUCGGCCAUCUUGGCUCCUGGAUCUCUGUGUCAACCUUCUUUUAUUUUUAAAAGAUAUUCACUGUCUCUUACUAAAGCUUCCUGUUCAAAGUCUGGCUGAGAAUUUUUGCUGCUUCUUUCCCUACCUCCUCAUUUCCGAAGGAGGUACCUUUCUGGCUUCUCUGUUGAACAUUUCCUAAAUAAAGUGUGGAUGAAAAGCAAUAGAGGAAGGAAAUGCAGAAAAUUAUAAGGCUGAAAUAGAAACUGGCCACAGCAGAGAUUAAAGGUUCUUCAUUAAUUUAGACAACUUAAGGGUAUCCUGAGGAGAUGAGAUCAGGACCUUCAGAUUACGAGACUCACGCCCUGCUGGCUGCGCUAAGAGGGCUCCUGAGGAGAUGAGAUCAAACAUAGGAAGAAAAAUGGAGUCUCCAAGAUGUCCACAUUUGAAUCUCUGGAACCUGUGAAUAUGUUACUUUAUAUGGCAAAAGGAACUUUGCAGGUGUGAGAAAAGUUGAGGACCUUGAGAUGGGGAGAUCAUCCUGGAUUAUUUGAAUAAGCCCAAAUUCAUCAAAUGAAUUCUUAAAAGAACCUUUCCUCUGAGAUGAGAGUCUGAGGGAGAUGUGGCUAUGGAAGAAUGGUCAGAGAGCAAUGCAAAGCUGCUGGCUGUGAAGAUGGAAGAAGGGGCCAUAAGCCAAGAAAUAUGGUUGGUUUCUAGGAGCUGGAAGAGGCAAGAAGACAUAUUCUCCUCUAGACCCUCCAGAAGAAAUGCAGCCUCACUGACACCUUAAUUUUAGCCCUGAAAGACCCAUUUCAGAACUCUGACCUACAGAACUGUAAGAUUGUAAGUUUGUAGUGUUUUAAGCCACUAAAUUUAUGGUAAUUUAUUAUAGCAGUAACAGAAAAUCAAUAUAUGCUUUAUGCAGGUAGUACUAAAUUACAUAUUGCAGGUUUAUGUUUGUUUGAGGACAGCUCUUUCUUUAUUUUUAGAGAUAGCACCUUGCUCUGUCACCAGGCCGGAGUGCAGCAGUGUGUUGAUAGCUCACUGGAACCUCAAAUUCCUGGGCUUAAUCCAUCUUCCCACCUAUAUCUCCCACAUGCAUGUAGCUAGGACUAGAUGCAUGUGCCAGCAUACCUGGCUAAUUUUUUUUGGCUUUUUUUUUUUUUUUUUUUUUUUUUUGUAGAGAUGGGGUCUCACUAUUUUUCCCAAGCUGAUCUCAAACUCCUGUGCUCAAGCAAUCCUCCUGCGUUGGCCCUGCCAAAGUUUUCAGAUUACAGGUAUAAGCCACCACACCUGGCUGGACAGCUCUUUCAAGGACUCUCUGUUUUUAAUUUAAAAUCUAAUUUUAAUUUUAAUUUAGUUUUUUAAAUUAAAACAAUAUACUUUGAACAUCUGUGCAUCAAAAGACCCUACCAACAGAGUGAAGAGGUAAUCAAUGGCAUGGGAGAAAAUAUUUGCAGAUUAUGUAUCUUAUAUGGGAUUAAUAUUCCAAAUAAAUAAAGAACUCCUACAAAUAAUAAAAAA